AUUGAACGCUAGCGGGAUGCUUUACACAUGCAAGUCGAACGAGUGGCGGACGGGGGAGUAAUAUUUGGGGAUUGCCCGAUAGAGUUGGAUAACUACUGGUAACGGUAGCUAUUUCCUCCUACUCUCGGUUAACCCAUAUGGGAUUAGCUAGUAGGUGAGGUAAUGGCUCACCUAGCCGACGAUCCCUAGCUGGUCUGAGAGGAUGAUCAGCCACACUGGGACUGAGACACGGCCCAGACUCCUACGGAGGCAGCAGUGGGGAAUAUUGCACAAUGGGCGCAAGCCUGAUGCAGCCAUGCCGCGUGUAUGAAGAAGGCCCUAGGGUUGUAAAGUACUUUAAGUCGGGAGGCGUUACCGACAGAAGAAGCACCGGCUAACUCCGUGCCAGCAGCCGCGGUAAUAC
This 403-nucleotide ribosomal RNA is filed under the name uncultured bacterium. Its description in RNAcentral is "partial 16S ribosomal RNA". It matches the Rfam family "Bacterial small subunit ribosomal RNA", at positions 30 to 526 of the family's 1533-position model. The record is from RNAcentral.